RNAcentral lists this transfer RNA (21 nucleotides) under Hippotragus equinus (roan antelope). RNAcentral's name for it is "partial tRNA-Ile". The record is from RNAcentral. Lineage: Eukaryota; Metazoa; Chordata; Mammalia; Artiodactyla; Bovidae.
AGAAAUAUGUCUGACAAAAGA